GUUUUAUUUGUUCCCCCCUCCAAGGUAUGAUGAACCUGGUAGUUUACAGCCAUGAGGUAGCUCCCAGGAAUAGAGGCUACUGCACACUUAUCCUCAAGACACAUACAGUACAGUUAAAAACAAAGCCACGACAGAAAAACAGAUGAUACAGUCAAAAUAAGUGACCAAGGAAAGGGUAUGAAGGCAUACUUGCUUGAGUUGCAUUGUGUUGGUGUCUAAUCCUAAGAAUGACCGAACUACAUUGUUUCCUUUUUAAUGUUUUAAAAAUAUUUUCAAAACUUUUCAGGCAAUAUGUGCACUCCUUUUUUUUUAUUUUUCCUUCUUUUAUUGAAAACUAUGUUCAUGCAAUAUGUUCUAACUACAGUUCUACAGUUUCCCUACUCCCAUGUCCACUGAAAUCAUACCCUUUCUUUCUCUCAUUUGAAAACAAACAAGCAUUAAAAAGAAAUAAAGUAAGAUUAAAAACAAACUGGAAUAUGGGAAAGAAAAGGCACAAGAAACACAUAAAUACAUACAUUCUCACCUCAAAGGUCCCAUAGAAAUACAAAAUUGGAAACCAUAAUAUAUAUGUGAAAAGUCUGUUAAGUAAAAAACAAAAGAACCUCAAAAAAUGGGAUACAAAUCUAAACAGGAAAUUCUUGAGAGAUCAGACAGAAAUAGCUGAGAAGCACUUAAGGAAAUGUUCCUAGUAAGGAAAUACAAAUCAAAACUGUUGCAUUGUUUCUUACAUUUGAGUGUAUCACAUCCAGAAACAGCCCGAUUUGUACCUCAGAAAAACCAAAGCACUUAAGCCAUCAUUGAAAGAUCCACCUUUUUUAUUGACAAAGAAAAAGUCUAAGAGAAACAAAUAGUUUUAUUUAUCAAAAAACAAAUCCUAUAUAUAUUGCACUUGGAUGUAACAUCUUAUGAUUAAGAGAUAUGAGAUAAGAGAAUAGAUGCCCUCUGUAAAGAAUUGAUAUAAGAGGAUAGAUGUCUACCCUCCCUCAAAAAAAAAAAAAAAAA
This 1002-nucleotide long non-coding RNA is filed under the name Rattus norvegicus (Norway rat). RNAcentral describes it as "long non-coding RNA NONRATT006556". Lineage: Eukaryota; Metazoa; Chordata; Mammalia; Rodentia; Muridae. The record is from RNAcentral.